CACUGAGCCACCUCUCCAGCCCCCCAUAUUCUUGUUUACUGGCAAAGCUGUCAUCAUUUAAUUGGCAUCAGAUUCUGACUUGCACAAGUAACAUUC
This 96-nucleotide small nucleolar RNA is filed under the name Nannospalax galili (Upper Galilee mountains blind mole rat). RNAcentral describes it as "Small nucleolar RNA SNORA24 (ENSNGAG00000007470.1)". It matches the Rfam family "Small nucleolar RNA SNORA24". Rfam says of the family: ACA24 is a member of the H/ACA class of snoRNA that guide the sites of modification of uridines to pseudouridines. Lineage: Eukaryota; Metazoa; Chordata; Mammalia; Rodentia; Spalacidae. The record is from Rfam by way of RNAcentral.